CGGCCGCGAUUGGUCGGCGACACAGGGAGGAGGCUGGUGGGUGGGAGGGCUGCGAGGCGCGCGCCGCAAUGGCAGCCCGCUGCCGCUAGAUGCCGCUCCCUCCCAACAGGACCUGGCCGCGGAUUCGCGGCCGACAGAUGGCGCCUGCGCGUUCCAUUCGCCUCCAAGUCGCUGAAGAGCGAACACCCCAAACAAUCCCGAAGCGCCACCAAAAAAAAAAAAAAAAAAAAAAGAAAAGAAAAAAGAGAAAAGAAAAAAGAAAAAAAGAAAAGAAAAAAAUAGAAAAAAAGAAAAGAGAAAAAAACAGGAAAAAAAAAGCACCCUGCCGGAUCCGACCGCCACUUUCAACCCCCCCCCCCCCACGGCUCUAGACCCGCGGGAGCUUCCGUCCCUCAGUAGAAUUCAAGGGUGUAAAGAAGAGGAAGGGGGAAAAAAUCUUGUACCAGCCCAGGGGCGAAGAAGCCCCCGGCCUGAGAAAGAAGGAGUGGGGGAGGCCAACAGUCUCCUCGCUGCCUCUGUAGACGCUGAGGGGGGAGGAACUGUCUUUCUUAGAGGAAGCACACUGUCUUUUAUUCACAUAAAUAUAUGAAUAUAUUUCUGACAUUGGGGUGAUCCAGAAGAUGAUAAAGAAAUGAUAGCAGCUCCAGAAAUACCAACUGAUUUUAAUCUACUGCAGGAGUCAGAAACACAUUUUUCUUCUGACACAGAUUUUGAAGACAUUGAAGG
RNAcentral lists this long non-coding RNA (726 nucleotides) under Rattus norvegicus (Norway rat). Its description in RNAcentral is "long non-coding RNA NONRATT030788". Lineage: Eukaryota; Metazoa; Chordata; Mammalia; Rodentia; Muridae. The record is from RNAcentral.